RNAcentral lists this ribosomal RNA (774 nucleotides) under uncultured bacterium. Its description in RNAcentral is "bacterial SSU rRNA". It matches the Rfam family "Bacterial small subunit ribosomal RNA", at positions 8 to 796 of the family's 1533-position model. The record is from RNAcentral.
AGAGUUUGAUCCUGGCUCAGAUUGAACGCUGGCGGCAUGCCUAACACAUGCAAGUCGAACGGCAGCACGGUCUAGUUUACUAGAUGGGUGGCGAGUGGCGGACGGGUGAGUAACGCGUAGGAAUAUGCCUUAAAGAGGGGGAUAACUUGGGGAAACUCAAGCUAAUACCGCAUAAUCUCUUCGGAGCAAAGCUGGGGACCUUCGGGCCUGGCGCUUUAAGAUUAGCCUGCGUCUGAUUAGCUAGUUGGUGAGGUAAAGGCUCACCAAGGCAACGAUCAGUAGCUGGUCUGAGAGGAUGAUCAGCCACAUUGGGACUGAGACACGGCCCAAACUCCUACGGGAGGCAGCAGUGGGGAAUCUUGCGCAAUGGGCGAAAGCCUGACGCAGCCAUGCCGCGUGAAUGAUGAAGGUCUUAGGAUUGUAAAAUUCUUUCACCGGGGACGAUAAUGACGGUACCCGGAGAAGAAGCCCCGGCUAACUUCGUGCCAGCAGCCGCGGUAAUACGAAGGGGGCUAGCGUUGCUCGGAAUUACUGGGCGUAAAGGGAGCGUAGGCGGACAUUUAAGUCAGGGGUGAAAUCCCGGGGCUCAACCUCGGAAUUGCCUUUGAUACUGGGUGUCUUGAGUAUGAGAGAGGUGUGUGGAACUCCGAGUGUAGAGGUGAAAUUCGUAGAUAUUCGGAAGAACACCAGUGGCGAAGGCGACACACUGGCUCAUUACUGACGCUGAGGCUCGAAAGCGUGGGGAGCAAACAGGAUUAGAUACCCUGGUAGUCC